This is an RNA transcript of Neocloeon triangulifer, 2553 nucleotides long. RefSeq lists it as uncharacterized. The transcript is spliced from 8 exons. The record is from RefSeq and is a predicted model, not a curated record. NCBI's taxonomy places the organism in Eukaryota, Metazoa, Arthropoda, Insecta, Ephemeroptera, Baetidae.
GAAUACCAGUUGGAAGAUACAAGUCAGUCGAGAGACGGAGUGUGAUGUGGACGAAGGCGUCUUUGCGUUUCUCUUCGCUGAUCGCGAUUUGCGUGGUGGUCCAGAGCAUUUCGCAGGCAAACGGAGCUGCUCCACAACGCUGUCCACCUGGCAGAUAUUAUGAUACCCAACUUAGAAGAUGUUUAAUAGGAACAGGCGUCUCCACAAAUUCUGAAAAAGAGGAAAAAUCGACAACGUCACAGCCUGAAAAUUUGGGAUCCAUACCUCUUCAGGUCGCAAUUGCUCCUACUCGAAUUGAUCCUAUUCGAACAUGUCCAUCUGGAGAAGUUUGGUCAGAUAGAAGAAGAAAAUGCAUUCCGUCCAUCUCGCGAAAUAAAUAGCACAGACUGCAUUUUUAUUAUAAUGUGAAAACAUCGUAAAAUAUUCCAACUAUGUAAAAAAAACAGGCGCAUAUUAAGCUAAAAGACGUGGAGCUGACAAUAUUCGUUUUCGUCUGAAGAAAAAUACAAAGCUCUGUAGUAAUUUCAACAAUAAACAUUCAUCAUUAAAAUUCAAUACAAAUUUUACCUUUUUGUAAUCAAACACAAAUUAACUUCAAUAUUUUUUACCAAAUUUUUUAGAGGUUUUUAUUUUCUAUUUUGGAAGUAAAUAUAUAGUGAAGAAAAUAAGACACACAAAAGGCGCGACUGAGUCUGCGACUCCUCGUUAAACCGGUUUCUUAGUAUGCAGGUAGGGAUAAUUCUUUUCAUUUAGCCUUUGGUUGGUUCACCAUUCUUCAAUCAACACCUGCACAUAAAAGAGGUUAUGUGCUUCGUUGAACUUCGGAAUGUUUACAGGGAAAGAUUUAGUUGAAUAAUUAGCACUUUUUUGCUCACUCCCGGAUUCAGGUCACUAGGGUCAGGCGGUGCCAUCUGAAGAGAGAGGCUCUUAUUUGUGACUGACUGCGAGGCGCAGUUGGCUGGAAACAUGGCUCGAGUUUUGUGCUUGUUUUUCACAUUAAUUUUGUGCCUCUUUUUUCUCCUGGACACGGCCGAAUCGAGGCAAAUCGCGAGGAAGGUGUCGCGAAACAGAAGGGACGCUGACGAAGAAUGUCCCAUGGGUUUUAUUUUCAAUACUGCUGGAAACUGCAUUCCAUUCAUUAAUGAUGAUGAGGAUGUCUCUGCUAAUCCUGUUGGACUAAGUAUUACAAAUGUACCUGAUAGGUUGAAGUGCAGAGAGGGAUAUGUCUACAUAAAACGUCGCCAACGUUGUGUUAGAUCUUCAAAAAUAAUCAAAAGUUGAUGAUUAAAUUUAUAAUAUUGCUUCCUAUUUAACGGUAUUUAAAACCCAAUUUGCUUUCACCUCCCUCCCUUACUAGUUUUAAUUAUAUAAUUAAGAAAAAUGGAAUGAAUUUCUACCGUGUGAUUAAAUUCCAAUCUAAGCUCUUAUAUGUGAUCCCAAAUAGAAUAAAAUAUAUAAUAUAAAGUAUGUAAAAGUUUUUUUUCUCAAUCACAAUUAUUUGACAAAAAUCGCUUCCGCAAACUGAGCAAUAAAGACUGAACCGCAGAGUUUAUUACUCUUUAUUGUCUGCAAAUUAAUUAAGCAAUUUAGUGGUGAGAACUUUGACGCAAGAUGAAUUAAAAUUUUCAACUAUGAACCUGCUGCACUUGACAAUGAAAGCAACUGACGCACUAAGGGCCCGUCUUGGCAAUUAAAAGCACCAAGUAUGCGUGACUUCUACUGCUUAAAAGGCCUGGACGGAUUUUACACUUAACCACUCAAAAUGAGACUCACCCAGGAGAGAAACGUCGUGACUUUAGCCGUCUUUUUUCUCGCCGGGCACCUGAAGGCACAAAUUCCAGACAGCGAUCCGAGACACUUGGAUUGCCCCCCGGGAUCACACUUUGCAAAUGGGAGGUGCAAGGUGUCUGUCAGAAUUCGGUUUGGGCCGGCGCACACCGGUGUCAACAGACCUGAACCGGUACCGUCUCCAACCUCUGUUUUGCCAUUUGUAACGUCUCCGAAGCCUCCAGCGAUCGUUUCUAUUACCACAAAACAACCUGCAACUUUCCAAGAAGACCCGUGCCCCUUGGGGUACAAACUAACGGCAGGAAAAUGCAGACCAAGUUAUUUACACAACAAAUGGCAUCCGUAUUCACAUUUGCCUUUCUAUCAACCAAUUAACUUUGGGAAUUUCCACUCACCAUUAUAUCCUCUCUUUCAUCACCCAGCUAAUAGCUGUUGGCAAAGUAGCCCAUUGGCCUAUAAUAAUAAAUAUUGGGGAUAUCCAUAUUACGGAGGUGGCUACCCUCACAGCGCACUUUAUGGUUUGCAGCCGUGGCUAAACAAAUUUUGUCCACCUGGAUAUCAUGUAUUGCAUGGAAGGUGCGAACCACCACAACGCGUCUCAAUUUCGAUGAACCCAAGCUAAAAACAAAGGAUCAAAAUUUUGCUGGAAAAGUCUGAAUGAACUUUAAAUUUAGAACCGAAUAAUUAGUUCCUUUAUUAUAUACAAUUAUGUAUGUAUCAUUUCAGAAAUAGACAAAAUCCAUAAUUUAAUCUUAACCAGCAGCA